CUAAAUUAAACGUCGGAUUGCUAAUGUUAGUUAGCUUUAGCUGCUGAGCGUGUGCUAACAUUUUUGCCGGAAUACUACAACAACUUAAGAUAAAGUUGACAACGAAUGAAUACAUGAGACAGCGGCGAAUUUAUGUUUUGCUGCCAUUGGCGCUGUCGCAGUUUGGUCAGGGUUGCCAGAUAACGCGAGGAAAACAAGUAACCAGCUGUGAAGGCACCGAGGUCAUAAAACAGGUGUAGCAGACAUCUUCAGAAGCAGUAUUUCCCCAGAAAUCCUGAAGGCACUCCUCGUCUAAAUCUUCAGGUUUCCAAAGUGGCAAAUCUGACUGAUGCCGCUGAUCCAGCUGUUCAUCUCCUCCUCAGUGUUGGCCACCAGGUAAAAAAUGCGAGAUGAGGUCUUCACCACAAACAGGUGCUUCCCAUUGAAGUCUCG
Long non-coding RNA from Betta splendens (Siamese fighting fish), 432 nucleotides. RefSeq lists it as uncharacterized. The transcript is spliced from 4 exons. NCBI's taxonomy places the organism in Eukaryota, Metazoa, Chordata, Actinopteri, Anabantiformes, Osphronemidae. The record is from RefSeq and is a predicted model, not a curated record.